AUAAAACCGAAGAAUUCUUAAUGUAAGUGAAUAAACCUUGACCCCCUAAAAAUUCUCUUCAACCA
This 65-nucleotide transfer RNA is filed under the name Coleomegilla maculata. RNAcentral's name for it is "tRNA-Arg". Lineage: Eukaryota; Metazoa; Arthropoda; Insecta; Coleoptera; Coccinellidae. The record is from RNAcentral.